RNAcentral lists this ribosomal RNA (506 nucleotides) under uncultured bacterium. RNAcentral describes it as "partial 16S ribosomal RNA". It matches the Rfam family "Bacterial small subunit ribosomal RNA", at positions 29 to 523 of the family's 1533-position model. The record is from RNAcentral.
AGUGAACGCUGGCGGUAGGCCUAACACAUGCAAGUCGAACGGCAGCACAGGAGAGCUUGCUCUCUGGGUGGCGAGUGGCGGACGGGUGAGGAAUACAUCGGAAUCUACUCUGACGUGGGGGAUAACGUAGGGAAACUUACGCUAAUACCGCAUACGACCUACGGGUGAAAGCAGGGGACCUUCGGGUCUUGCGCGAUUGACUGAGCCGAUGUCGGAUUAGCUAGUUGGCGGGGUAAAGGCCCACCAAGGCGACGAUCCGUAGCUGGUCUGAGAGGAUGAUCAGCCACACUGGAACUGAGACACGGUCCAGACUCCUACGGGAGGCAGCAGUGGGGAAUAUUGGACAAUGGGCGCAAGCCUGAUCCAGCCAUACCGCGUGGGUGAAGAAGGCCUUCGGGUUGUAAAGCCCUUUUGUUGGGAAAGAAAUCCAGCUGGCUAAUACCCGGUUGGGAUGACGGUACCCAAAGAAUAAGCACCGGCUAACUUCGUGCCAGCAGCCGCCGUAA